GAUGAACGCUGGCGGCGUGCUUAACACAUGCCAGUCGAACGAGAAGUGGAGACGGAAACCUUCGGGCGGAAGACUUUACUUCGAGUGGCGGACGGGUGAGUAACGCGUGGGUAACCUGCCUCAUACAGGGGGAUAACAGUUGGAAACGACUGUUAAUACCGCAUAAGACCACAGCACCGCAUGGUGCGGGGGUAAAAACUCCGGUGGUAUGAGAUGGACCCGCGUUCGAUUAGCCAGUUGGCGGGGUAACGGCCCACCAAAGCGACGAUCGAUAGCCGAUCUGAGAGGAUGACCGGCCACAUUGGGACUGAGACACGGCCCAAACUCCUACGGGAGGCAGCAGUGGGGAAUAUUGCACAAUGGGGGAAACCCUGAUGCAGCGACGCCGCUUGAGUGAAGAAGUAUUUCGGUAUGUAAAGCUCUAUCAGCAGGGAAGAAAAUGACAGUACCUGAGUAAGAAGCCCCGGCUAACUACGUG
This 478-nucleotide ribosomal RNA is filed under the name uncultured bacterium. Its description in RNAcentral is "partial 16S ribosomal RNA". It matches the Rfam family "Bacterial small subunit ribosomal RNA", at positions 28 to 507 of the family's 1533-position model. The record is from RNAcentral.